GUGAGGAAUAUUGGGCAAUGCCCGCAAGGGUGACCCAGCAACGCCGCGUGGAGGAUGAAUGUCGUAAGAUUGUAAACUCCUGUUAGAGGGGAAGAAUAGUACCGGUUGGACCGGUAUAUGACUGUACCCUCAGAGAAAGCCCCGGCUAACUACGUGCCAGCAGCCGCGGUAGUACGUAGGGGGCAAGCGUUGUCCGGAUUUACUGGGUGGAAAGGGCGCGCAGGCGGGAUAAAAGGUCAGUGGUGAAAUCCUACAGCUUAACUGUAGAACUGCCUUUGAUACUUUUAGUCUUGAGUUCGGGAGAGAGAGACGGAAUUCCAGGUGUAGUGGUGAAAUACGUAGAUAUCUGGAAGAACACCAGUUGCGAAGGCGGUCUCUUGGUCCGACACUGACGCUGAGGCGCGAAAGCGUGGGGAGCAAACA
Molecule: ribosomal RNA, 423 nt
Filed under: uncultured bacterium
Lineage: Bacteria
Description: bacterial SSU rRNA
Rfam family: Bacterial small subunit ribosomal RNA
Source: RNAcentral